GUUCAGUUAGUUUAUUUAAAAUGUCAGUUUGUGGGA
RNAcentral lists this transfer RNA (36 nucleotides) under Trogoderma granarium. Its description in RNAcentral is "tRNA-His". The record is from RNAcentral. Lineage: Eukaryota; Metazoa; Arthropoda; Insecta; Coleoptera; Dermestidae.